This 212-nucleotide ribosomal RNA is filed under the name uncultured fungus. RNAcentral's name for it is "partial small subunit ribosomal RNA". The record is from RNAcentral. Lineage: Eukaryota; Fungi.
GGAUCAUCAGGUCGGUCGUGCCUCCGGUAUGUACUGGUCUCGAUGGUUCCUCCUUCUUGUAGAACCGUAAUGCCAUUAAUUUGGUGUUGCGGGGAAACAGGACUGUUACUUUGAAAAAAUUAGAGUGUUCAAGGCAGGCGUUUGCUUGAAUAUUGCAGCUGGGAAUAAUAACAAAGGCUUCGGGCCAUGUUGUUGGUUUCACGGACUGAAGA